UGCGUAGGCGGUCAUUUAAGUCUCAUGUGAAAUACCCAGGCUUAACUUGGGGUUGCAUGGGAAACUGGACGACUUGAGUGCAGGAGAGGUAAGCGGAAUUCCUAGUGUAGCGGUGAAAUGCGUAGAUAUUAGGAGGAACACCAGUGGCGAAGGCGGCUUACUGGACUGCAACUGACGCUGAGGCACGAAAGCGUGGGGAGCAAACA
Molecule: ribosomal RNA, 206 nt
Filed under: uncultured bacterium
Lineage: Bacteria
Description: partial 16S ribosomal RNA
Rfam family: Bacterial small subunit ribosomal RNA
Source: RNAcentral